RNAcentral lists this small nuclear RNA (110 nucleotides) under Strigops habroptila (Kakapo). RNAcentral's name for it is "U1 spliceosomal RNA (ENSSHBG00005015673.1)". It matches the Rfam family "U1 spliceosomal RNA", at positions 1 to 102 of the family's 166-position model. Rfam says of the family: U1 is a small nuclear RNA (snRNA) component of the spliceosome (involved in pre-mRNA splicing). Its 5' end forms complementary base pairs with the 5' splice junction, thus defining the 5' donor site of an intron. Lineage: Eukaryota; Metazoa; Chordata; Aves; Psittaciformes; Psittacidae. The record is from RNAcentral.
AUACUUACCUGGCAGGGGAGACACCAUGAUCAGGCAGGUGGUUUUCCCAGGGCGAGGCUCUUUUUUUUUUUUGAGACCUCACUUGGAGUACUGUGUACAGUUCUGGUGUC